AACUAUGGCCAUACCACCCUGAGCGUGCCAGACCUCAUUUGACCUCAGAAACUAAGAAGGGUUGGGCCCGCUUAGUAC
This 78-nucleotide ribosomal RNA is filed under the name Microtus ochrogaster (prairie vole). The record is from RNAcentral. Lineage: Eukaryota; Metazoa; Chordata; Mammalia; Rodentia; Cricetidae.